GGGCACGUAGUGGAGUGGUUACCACGUUGGUCUUCGAUAUAAAAUCACAACCAAAGUUCGUCAGUUCGAUCCUGGCCGUGCUCA
This is a non-coding RNA of Ceratobasidium sp. 394, 84 nucleotides long. The record is from the annotation of a GenBank genome assembly. Lineage: Eukaryota; Fungi; Basidiomycota; Agaricomycetes; Cantharellales; Ceratobasidiaceae.